GAGUAAAACGGCCUUCGGGCCACUUAUUCUCACCCUUUGUUUACCACACUUAGUUGCCUUGGCGCCUAGCGCCAGUGGAUCAAAACCCUUGAAUCAUUGCUGUCUGAGUACUAUAUAAUAGUUAAAACUUUCAACAACGGAUCUCUUGGUUCUGGCAUCGAUGAAGAACGCAGCGAAAUGCGAUAAGUAAUGUGAAUUGCAGAAUUCAGUGAAUCAUCGAAUCUUUGAACGCACAUUGCGCCCUCUGGUAUUCCGGGGGGCAUGCCUGUUCGAGCGUCAUUACAACCCUCAAGCUCAGCUUGGUAUUGGGCUCGCCCUGUAGGGCUUGCCUAAAAAUCAGUGGCGGCCGCCGUCCGACCUUCAGCGCAGUAAUACUCGUAGCUGAAAGGGAAGGCUGGCGACCCCGUCAUUAUAACCCCCAAUUUUACAAGGUUGACCUCGGAUCAGGUAGGGAUACCCGCUGAACUUAAGCAUAUCAAUAAGCGGAGGAAAAGAAACCAACAGGGAUUGCCUCAGUAACGGCGAGUGAAGCGGCAACAGCUCAAAUUUGAAAGCUGGCUCCUUCGGGGCCCGCGUUGUAAUUUGUAGAGGAUGCUUCGGGUGCGGCUCCGGUCUAAGUUCUCUGGAACGAGACGUCAAAGAGGGUGAGAAUCCCGUAUGUGACCGGCUGCUUGUGCCCAUGUGAAGCUCCUUCGACGAGUCGAGUUGUUUGGGAAUGCAGCUCAAAAUGGGAGGUGUACUCCUUCUAAAGCUAAAUAUUGGCCAGAGACCGAUAGCGCACAAGUAGAGUGAUCGAAAGAUGAAAAGCACUUUGGAAAGAGAGUUAAACAGUACGUGAAAUUGUUGAAAGGGAAGCGCUUGCAAUCAGACUUGCGCGGCGUCGAUCAA
RNAcentral lists this small RNA (888 nucleotides) under Lophodermium sp. OK-2014. Its description in RNAcentral is "eukaryotic LSU rRNA". The stretch from base 434 to 888 matches the Rfam family "Eukaryotic large subunit ribosomal RNA", at positions 1 to 452 of the family's 3401-position model. The record is from RNAcentral. Lineage: Eukaryota; Fungi; Ascomycota; Leotiomycetes; Rhytismatales; Rhytismataceae.